Long non-coding RNA from Bubalus bubalis (water buffalo), 635 nucleotides. RefSeq lists it as uncharacterized. The transcript has 3 exons. NCBI's taxonomy places the organism in Eukaryota, Metazoa, Chordata, Mammalia, Artiodactyla, Bovidae. The record is from RefSeq and is a predicted model, not a curated record.
AUAGGGAAAUGGACUGAAAAGUAUCCCCAAAUGUACACAGCAGUUUUCUCUGGAGAUGCAGUGCUUCCAGAUUUUCCAACGAUGACUGGUUGGCUCUGACAGUCAGAAGAGAAAACAGGUCCCUCAGGCGGGGAAGGAGAGGACAAGCCGGGGGCAGGCAGAGCUCCGCCGGCAGGAGGGCCGGGCGCUGGCCGGGCAGCCGGGGAGGUGGGCCGUCUGCCUCGCGCGGGACUGGUUGUGACAGGCGCGCUGUGCCUCUGUGACUUGGGUCUCCUCCAAGCUGGCAGGCACCCUCGCUGACACACGAGACGCGCGGCUUAGCUGGGGCUUUCCUUCAGUUACUGCUCCAGUUACCCGCAACUUUAAGGAGCUUCCCUCCCAGGACUUCUGAAAGCAGGAGAAAGUUACUGCAGCUGCUAACAGGAUCCUUGUGAUGGCUUUGGGUUGCUGCCAAGAGUGGACCAGAAACCAAACUUCUAUUGGACAAGCCCCUGCCAGCCUCCCCGAGAUCAAAAAGGUGCCAAGGAUGAGGGUCGUUCCAGCAUUAACUGUGUGACUGUGGGCAGGACAGUUCAUUUUUCUUCGUUGGAAAACACGAAUAAGAAUUACAACACCCCUCUGACAAUACAGUGACA